Long non-coding RNA from Oncorhynchus tshawytscha (Chinook salmon), 3676 nucleotides. The record is from Ensembl. NCBI's taxonomy places the organism in Eukaryota, Metazoa, Chordata, Actinopteri, Salmoniformes, Salmonidae.
UGCUGUUAUGAAUGCUAUCAGAUAGUUAGCUUGUAGGCCUGCUGUUAUGAAUGCUAUCAGAUAGUUAGCUUGGAGGCCUGCUGUUAUGAAUGCUAUCAGAUAGUUAGCUUGUAGGCCUGCUGUUAUGAAUGCUAUCAGAUAGUUAGCUUGUAGGCCUGCUGUUAUGAAUGCUAUCAGAUAGUUAGCUUGUAGGCCUGCUGUUAUGAAUGCUAUCAGACAGUUAGCUUAUAGGCCUGCUGUUAUGAAUGCUAUCUGACAGUUAGCUUUGCCAGCUGCUCUUUUCUUCAGUUAUUCGGUGCAGAUGGCCUAUUAAGGCAUGUUGUUUUGAAGCAGGUUACCAUGGCUCCCCUAUAAAUGGGUCUUCCUGGUUGGAACCCUAAUGGAUCGUCAGGUCAUGUGAGGUCAUCGUCAGGUCAUGUUCUUAGUUGAACUGUACGGUUGUGGGCCCACCUUAAGCUGGACUUGGUUGGGUUUUGUAAUUCAAGAUGAAGCUGACGUAGAAGCCUUUUGGACUGGUGUGCUCUGGUGACUGGGUCCGUCCGGCCCAUGUUGGAUUGAUUACAUCACUGCGUUUCUGGUGUUCUAGAAUACAGGCUUGUCCUGGAACGGCCUUGGUCUCACCCCUAUGGUCCACAAUAUGUCAUUCUGCUCAUGUUCUAGAAUGAGCAUGUCUGUACCCUUUUAGUUUUUAAGUAGUACCCUGGCCAGGGAUUAGACUAUGUUAGUAAAAGUUAAUAAAUCUUACCCUUUGGUUUAAAAAAAAAAAAUAAUAAUAAGAGGGAGAAGAAGAAACGUCACAAGAGGUGUUAGGAAAUAUUUUCUAAUCUCCAACUCAAAAAACAAAUAGCACAUGUUUUAUUUUUAGCUGACAUCCGGAGAGAGACAUAGUCAUAUCAUUCAUCUAAAACCACCCUCACAAACCGACUGCAGCCAACACUUCUGUUCUGCGUGUGCCUAGGCGUGCGAGUGUACAUGCAUAUUCUUAUAUUCGUCUUGUAAAUAAUUGUUGAAGAUGGGUGACGUGACGCUUCAGUUCCUCUGCCUGCCCUGUGGUGAGCAAUGGUGGGUAUUUUCUAGAUUAGGUCACUCCAGAACACACUCACUAAUGACAGUUGGGAAAUUAAGUUUUCUGGAUUAUUCUACAUUGACAUGACACUACAACAUUCAGACGCAUCAGAUCCCAACCAGAUGAACCAGCUGGCAAUGUUGAAUAUGGUCUCUAAUUCUACACAUUCGGUUACAUAGCAUUAGUGAAAUAUUCCAGUGGAAUAUUAAAACAUUUCCUAUGUCAUGUUAAUGAGGACCGAACACAUCUUGGAUACAAUCUCUCAAGCACAGGCUCUCUCUGUAGAGACAGCAAUCUGACGCUAGUGCUUCCCAUUUGGGGAAUUUAGGUCACACCUCUGGGGAACCAUUUACUGUGAUUUAUUUAGGCUAGGUCAUCACAAAAUGUGUCGCUCCUCACGCUCACUGUCUGCACCCUAAAGUAUAUCUCAGUCACUCACAAUCCAGGCAGAACGAUCCAUGAGCCUCCGUAGCAGGAGAUGGGUGCUUGUGUUUCAUGUUAUGUUUGUUAACUAGUGUUGCUACUUUGAUUUUAAAGCACCUUUUGAUUCAAGCACUUUUUUUCUUCACUGUAUCAUAUCAGGACAUUUUUUGAAGGUAGCUACAGUUGAAGUUUGAAGUUUACAUACACCUUAGCCAAAUACAUUUAAACUGAGUUUAUCACAAUUCCUGACAUUUAAUCAUAGUAAAAAUUCCCUGUUUUAGGUCAGUUAGGAUUACCACUUUAUUUUAAGAAUGUGAAAUGGCAAAAUAACAGUAGAGAGUGAUUUAUUUCAGCUUUUAUUUCUUUCAUCACAUUCUCAGUGGGUCAGAAGUUUACAUACACUCAAUUAGUAUUUGGUAGCAUUGCCUUUAAAUUGUUUAACUUGGGUCAAACGUUUCAGGUUGCCUUCCACAAGCUUCCCACAAUAAGUUGGGGGAAUUUUGUCCCAUUCCCCCUAACAGAGCUGGUGUAACUGAGUCAGGUUUGUAGGCCUCCUUGCUCGCACACGCUUUUUCAGUUCUGCCCACAAAUUUUCUAUAGGAUUGAGGUCAGGCCUUUGUGAUGGCCACUUCAAUACCGUGACUUUGUUGUCCUUAAGCCAGUUUGCCACAACUUUGGAAGUAUGCUUGAGGUCAUUGUCCAUUUGGAAGACCUAUUUGCGACCAAGCUUUAACUUCCUGACUGAAGUCUUGAGAUGUUGCUUCAUUAUAUUCACAUAAUUUUCCUAUCUCAUGAUGCCAUCUAUUUUGUGAAGUGCACCAGUCCCUCCUGCAGCAAAGCAAACCCACAAUAUGAUGCUGCCACCCCCGUGCUUCAUUUUUGGGAUGGUGUUCUUCGGCUUGCAAGCCUCCCCCUUUUUCCUCCAAGAUGGUCAUUAUGGCCAAAAAGUUAUAUUUUUGUUUCAUCAGACCAGAGGACAUUUCUCCAAAAAGUAUGAUAUUUGUCCCCAUGUGCAGUUGCAAACCGUAGUCUGGCUUUUUUAUGGCAGUUUUGGAGCUGUGGCUUCUUCCUUGCGGAGCGGCCUUUCAGGUUAUGUCGAUAUAGGACUCAUUUUACUGUGGAUAUAGAGGCCUUUGUACCUGUUUCCUCCAGCAUCUCCACAAGAUCCUUUGUUGUUGUUCUGGGAUUGAUUUGCACUUUUUGCACCAAAGUAUGUUCAUCUCUAGGAGACAGAAGGCGUCUCCUUCCUGAGCAGUAUGACGGCUGCUUGGUCCCAUGGUGUUUACACUUGCAUACUAUUGUUUGUACACAUGAACUUGUUACAUUCAGCCGUUUGGAAAUUGCUCCCAAGGAUGAACCAGACUUGUGGAGGUCUACAAUUAUUUUUCUGAGGUAUUGGCUUAUAUCUUUUGAUUUUCCCAUGAUGUCAAGCAAAGAGGCACUGAGUUUGAAGGUAGGCCUUGAAAUACAUCCACAGGUACACCUCCAAUUGACUCAAAUCAUGUCAAUUAGUCUACCAGAAGCUUCUAAAGCCAUGACAUCAUAUUCUGGAAUUUUCCAAGCUGUUUAAAGGCACAGUCAACUUAGUGUAUGUAAACUUCUGACCCACUGGAAUUGUGAUACAGUGAAUUAUAAGUUAAAUAAUCUGUCUGUAAACAAUUGUUGGAAAAAUUACCUGUGUCACACAAAGUAGAUGUCCUAACCGACUUGCCAAAACUAUAGUUUGUUAACAAGAAAUUUGUGGAGUGGUUGAAAAACGAAUUUUAAUGACUCCAACGUAAGUGUAUGUAAACUUUCGACUUCAAAUGUAUGCUUUGCAGAAACAUGUAUAAAUGACAUAUAGAUAAGUACAGGCUCUCUGGUGUUGGGACUGGCUGUAUAAAUUGCUCUGGGUACAAGCCUUCGAUGACAUAUUUAAUACGUCAUCAAUAAAUCACGUAUCACAGUUUGGUGGCUUUUAUUUGUGUAUAAUUUGGUUCGAGGCAGAUUAUUGACUGUUUUAUAAGGUAGAAAUAAUUUGUUUAUAUAGGUGAGUGUGGGUUAUGGCCUCUGUCUACACUCCAUUAAUGUUGAAUAUGAGUAUUAUGUUAUUAAAAACCAAUAAAAGUGACAAUGUCUAAAACGCAAUUAUUUCUGUGUCGAUGUGCGCACACAUUUACAGGUGUCAGUGCAUGGCCCAUAGAGGGC